Molecule: ribosomal RNA, 421 nt
Filed under: uncultured bacterium
Lineage: Bacteria
Description: bacterial SSU rRNA
Rfam family: Bacterial small subunit ribosomal RNA
Source: RNAcentral
UCUUCCACAAUGGACGCAAGUCUGAUGGAGCAACGUCGCGUGAGUGAAGAAGGCUUUCGGGUCGUAAAACUCUGUUGUUGGAGAAGAACACGUUUGAGAGUAACUGUUCAGACGUUGACGGUAUCCAACCAGAAAGCCACGGCUAACUACGUGCCAGCAGCCGCGGUAAUACGUAGGUGGCAAGCGUUAUCCGGAUUUAUUGGGCGUAAAGCGAGCGCAGGCGGUUUUUUAAGUCUGAUGUGAAAGCCUUCGGCUUAACCGAAGAAGUGCAUCGGAAACUGGGAAACUUGAGUGCAGAAGAGGACAGUGGAACUCCAUGUGUAGCGGUGAAAUGCGUAGAUAUAUGGAAGAACACCAGUGGCGAAGGCGGCUGUCUGGUCUGUAACUGACGCUGAGGCUCGAAAGCAUGGGUAGCGAACAG